Molecule: ribosomal RNA, 492 nt
Filed under: uncultured bacterium
Lineage: Bacteria
Description: partial 16S ribosomal RNA
Rfam family: Bacterial small subunit ribosomal RNA
Source: RNAcentral
AGUGAACGCUGGCGGUAGGCCUAACACAUGCAAGUCGAACGGCAGCACAGUAAUAUCUUGCUCUUACGGGUGGCGAGUGGCGGACGUGUGAGGAAUACAUCGUAAUCUACUUUUUCGUGUGUGAUAACGUAGGUACACUUACGCUAAUACCUCAUACGACCUACGGUUGAAAUCAUUGGAUCUUCUCACCUUUCGCGUUUGAAUGAGCCGAUUUCGGAUUAGCUAGUUGGGGGGGUAAAGGCCCACCAAGGCGACGAUCCGUAGCUGGUCUGAGAGGAUGAUCAGCCACACUGGAAGUGAGACACGGUCCAGAGGACUACGGGAGGCAGCAGUGGGGAAUAUUGGACAAUGGGGGAAAGAAUGAUACAGCAAUACCGCGUGGGUGAAGAAGGACUUAGGGUUGUAAAGACAGGUUGUUGGGAAAGAAAAGAAGCAGGAUAAAACCAAGAUGUAGUGACGGUAACAAAAGAAUAAGCACCGGCUAACUACGUG